AUACGUAGGUGGCGAGCGUUGUCCGGAAUGAUUGGGCGUAAAGGGCGCGUAGGCGGCGCGGUAAGUCUGGAGUGAAAGUCCUGCUUUCAAGGUGGGAAUUGCUUUGGAUACUGCCGCGCUUGAGUGCGGGAGAGGGAUCGGAAUUCCCGGUGUAGCGGUGAAAUGCGUAGAGAUCGGGAGGAACACCAGUGGCGAAGGCGGGUAACUGGACUGCAACUGACGCUGAGGCGCGAAAGUGUGGGGAGCAAACAGGAUUAGAUACCCUGGUAGUCCACACUGUAAACGAUGAAUGCUAGGUGUAAGAGGUAUCGACCCCUUUUGUGCCGGAGUCAACACAAUAAGCAUUCCGCCUGGGGAGUACGGCCGCAAGGUUGAAACUCAAAUGAAUUGACGGGG
This 396-nucleotide ribosomal RNA is filed under the name uncultured bacterium. Its description in RNAcentral is "partial 16S ribosomal RNA". It matches the Rfam family "Bacterial small subunit ribosomal RNA", at positions 523 to 918 of the family's 1533-position model. The record is from RNAcentral.